CCUACGGGUGGCAGCAGUGGGGAAUAUUGCACAAUGGGGGGAACCCUGAUGCAGCGACGCCGCGUGGGUGAAGGAGUACUUCGGUACGUAAAGCCCUAUCAGCAGGAAAGAAAAUGACGGUACCUGACUAAGAAGCCCCGUCUAACUACGUGCCAGCAGCCGCGGUAAGACGGAGGGGGCAAGCGUUAUCCGGAUUUACUGGGUGUAAAGGGAGCGUAGACGGCAGUGCAAGUCCGGAGUGAAAGCCCGGGGCUCAACCCUGGGACUGCUCUGGAAACUGUAAAGCUGGAGUGCGGGAGGGGCAGGCGGAAUGCGGGGUGUAGCGGGGAAAUGGGUAGAUAUGAGGAAGAA
Molecule: ribosomal RNA, 351 nt
Filed under: uncultured bacterium
Lineage: Bacteria
Description: partial 16S ribosomal RNA
Rfam family: Bacterial small subunit ribosomal RNA
Source: RNAcentral